AACGAACGCUGGCGGCGCGCCUAAUACAUGCAAGUCGAGCGAGAAGGUGUAGCAAUACACUUGUAAAGCGGCGAACGGGUGAGGAAUACAUGGGUAACCUACCCUCGAGUGGGGAAUAACUAGCCGAAAGGUUAGCUAAUACCGCAUACGAUUCCAGGACUUCGGUCCUGGAAGGAAAGCACUACCGUGGGUAGUGCGCUCCUGGAUGGGCUCAUGUCCUAUCAGCUUGUUGGGAGGUAAAGGCUCACCAAGGCUUCGACGGGUAGCUGGUCUGAGAGGACGAUCAGCCACACUGGCACUGCGACACGGGCCAGACUCCUACGGGAGGCAGCAGUAAGGAUAUUGCGCAAUGGGCGAAAGCCUGACGCAGCGACGCCGCGUGGGGGAUGAAGGUCUUCGGAUUGUAAACCCCUUUCGGG
RNAcentral lists this ribosomal RNA (419 nucleotides) under uncultured bacterium. RNAcentral's name for it is "bacterial SSU rRNA". It matches the Rfam family "Bacterial small subunit ribosomal RNA", at positions 29 to 440 of the family's 1533-position model. The record is from RNAcentral.